RNAcentral lists this ribosomal RNA (468 nucleotides) under uncultured bacterium. RNAcentral's name for it is "partial 16S ribosomal RNA". It matches the Rfam family "Bacterial small subunit ribosomal RNA", at positions 28 to 507 of the family's 1533-position model. The record is from RNAcentral.
GACGAACGCUGGCGGCGUGCUUAACACAUGCAAGUCGAACGGAAGGGCCCGGCUCUUGUGGGGUUCUUGUGUGGGGAACGGGGGAGUAACACGCGAGUAACCUGCCCUUGACUUUGGGAUAACUCUAGGAAACUGGGGCUAUUACCGGGUAGGAGAUCUUGCACCAUGUGGGUGGUGGGAGAGUUCCGGCGGUUGGGGAUGGACUCGCGGCUUACCAGCUUGUUGGGGGGGUAGGGGCUUACAAAGGUUUUGACGGGUAGCCGGCCUGGGAGGGUGACCGGCCUCAUUGGGACUGCGGUACGGCCCAGACUCCUACGGGCCGCAGCAGUGGGGAACAUUGCACAGUGGGCCGAAGCCUGAUGCGACAACGCCGCGAGCGGAAUGCCGGCCUUCGGGUUGUAAACCGCUUUCGCCUGUGCCGAAGCGUGCGUGACGGUACUGGGUCAGAAAGCCACGGCUAACUACGUG